UACGUAGGGUGCGAGCGUUAAUCGGAAUUACUGGGCGUAAAGCGUGCGCAGGCGGUUUUGUAAGCCAGAUGUGAAAUCCCCGGGCCCAACCUGGGAAUGGCAUUUGGGACUGCAAGGCUUGAGUGCGGCAGAGGAGACUGGAAUUCCUGGUGUAGCAGUGAAAUGCGUAGAUAUCAGGAGGAAUACCGAUGGCGAAGGCAGGUCUCUGGGCUGACACUGACGCUCAUGCACGAAAGCGUGGGGAGCAAACAGG
RNAcentral lists this ribosomal RNA (253 nucleotides) under uncultured bacterium. Its description in RNAcentral is "partial 16S ribosomal RNA". It matches the Rfam family "Bacterial small subunit ribosomal RNA", at positions 524 to 776 of the family's 1533-position model. The record is from RNAcentral.